CCGUAGGUGAACCUGCGGAAGGAUCAUUACCGAGUUCGUGCCCUCCGGGGCAGACCUCCCACCCUUGUGUAUUAUUACAAAACGUUGCUUUGGCGCGCCGUACGCUCGGCUUACCCGGGGAUUUCCCCCGGCGCGCGCGCCAGAGGACCCCAAACUCUAAGUUUUAGUGUCGUCAGAGUACUAUUCAAUAGUUAAAACUUUCAACAACGGAUCUCUUGGUUCUGGCAUCGAUGAAGAACGCAGCGAAAUGCGAUAAGUAAUAUGAAUUGCAGAAUUCAGUGAAUCAUCGAAUCUUUGAACGCAUAUUGCACCCCUUGGUAUUCCGGGGGGUAUGCCUGUUCGAGCGUCAUGAUAACCUUUCCAGCCUGGCUGGGUGGUGGGCCCCGCUGCUGGGCGGGCCCCAAAGCGAGUGGCGGUGCUCGUGAGCUCUACGCGUAGUAAUUUUCCUCGCUACAGAGUCCCACGGCGUGCUGGCCAGCAACCCCAAAUUUUUCAUGUUUGACCUCGGAUCAGGUAGGGA
Molecule: ribosomal RNA, 520 nt
Filed under: Lachnum oncospermatum
Lineage: Eukaryota; Fungi; Ascomycota; Leotiomycetes; Helotiales; Lachnaceae
Description: eukaryotic LSU rRNA
Rfam family: 5.8S ribosomal RNA (bases 196-349)
Source: RNAcentral